This 253-nucleotide ribosomal RNA is filed under the name uncultured bacterium. Its description in RNAcentral is "partial 16S ribosomal RNA". It matches the Rfam family "Bacterial small subunit ribosomal RNA", at positions 524 to 776 of the family's 1533-position model. The record is from RNAcentral. RNAcentral also lists the same sequence under 1 other name.
UACAGAGGCCCCGAGCGUUAGUCGGAAUCACUGGGCUUAAAGGGUGCGUAGGCGGACCGAAACGCGUCCCGUGAAAUCCCACGGCUCAACCGUGGAACCGCGGGGCGAACGAGCGGUCUCGAGGCAGGUAUGGGCGGGCAGAACAGUAGGUGGAGCGGUGAAAUGCGUAGAUAUCUACUGGAAUGCCGAUGGUGAAGACGGCCCGCUGGGCCUGUCCUGACGCUGAGGCACGAAAGCGUGGGGAGCAAACAGG